AUCUUUUUAUUAAACUAAUAUAUUUUUAUUAUUUCAUUAUCAUUUGGCUAGAAUUUUAUUAAAUGUUAAUAUUAAAUAUUAAAUAAUUUUAAUGCUAACCAAAAAAAAAACUAGUUAAUUUCUCAAAGUUUGUUUCACUUUGCAGUCCAAUUUAUAAGCUUAUUUAGUUCGGAUAUGACGUAUCAAAAUUGUACCUGACACUAUAAGGUCAAAUCACAAUAUCACACGAUUCUAAGAUAAUGGCUAGGGUGAUGACUUCAGAAGGUUCAAAUAGUCUGACUCCAUUUUCAGGUGUUCAGUGCUCCGAUGAAAGACAAUAUGACAUCUGUCUGUCUAUGCCAGGAGUGCAGGAGACAGCUGAGGAAAGCUUUAUAGACUUACGUUCGUCUGCAAGAUGUACUCGUUCGAUUGACGCCAUUUUGAGAUCCACAACAUCAAAUGCACCCAGAUCUGAUGUGGAAGUUAUUGAAAUCGUUUCGACAUCUUCGGAAAGCAGGAGAUUAAUUCCACAGAAUCAGUAGUGUAGACCCAAAGUAACACACGUAGAGGGAUACCUCAGUACCGCUUGUCACUUCCAAUGUCAAGCUGUCAAUAUCAUUGGAAUCUUUGGAUUGUCGCCUCUUUUGUGGGUUUUUUAAGCCUCUUUUUUUUUUUUUUUUUGGUUCUGUCUUUUCUUUUG
Biomphalaria glabrata is the source of this 679-nucleotide long non-coding RNA. RefSeq lists it as uncharacterized. NCBI's taxonomy places the organism in Eukaryota, Metazoa, Mollusca, Gastropoda, Planorbidae. The record is from RefSeq and is a predicted model, not a curated record. The transcript is spliced from 3 exons.